RNAcentral lists this long non-coding RNA (2701 nucleotides) under Solanum lycopersicum (tomato). Its description in RNAcentral is "long non-coding RNA (SLYC_LNC000113)". The record is from RNAcentral. Lineage: Eukaryota; Viridiplantae; Streptophyta; Magnoliopsida; Solanales; Solanaceae.
CAUCGAUGAGGGCGAGCAGUAGCAGCACCCAGCAAGACGCACUCCAGCAUCAGAGACGGCAAGUUUGUGAGUUUGACGUGUUUCAAUGAAUUAAAGCCGAAUGAUUCGCCAGCAGAAGCAGAGAAGCUUCCAUGAGCGUUAACAUUGAGUGUGUGAGUUUGUUGUCCUUAAUUACAGUCCUUUUAUUUUCUUCAUCAAUACUUGUGUUUUUUUUUCCCCUUUAGUUAUAUCACUUUAGCAAGUACCCACUUCCAGUGAUUUAAUCUAGAACUUUUGACCUUAUAGCCUUUUAAUUUUAUUUCGAUAUAGCAAUCUAAUUGUUGAGUAACUUGAAACAACUAAAAAUUCCUAAUUGAUCUUUAUGAUAGAAACACAAGAUAUUAUAUGCUGACACAAUAUUUAAAGGAGCUAUAGCUACAACUUGCUUAUAUAAUGUGGAAAAUUAUAUAUGAAGUUUAAUAUUUCAAUACAUUAAUGAAUCAAUCACAUUACCCUACUUCUUAUUGAUUCUUUUAAGAGUUUCAAAAUGCAAAAUAAUCUCUUGUUAUCUCUAACUAAAGAAUAUAGUCACAAACUGAUGAUGCAUAUUUUCUUUAGUAAGUUACACAGAACAAGUAAAGUAUGUGUUAAUUCUAAUUCACAGAUGUAAUGUGAUUUAGUUGGUGAAUGUAGUCUUGGAAUUAAGUUAAAACUCUCAAAUUAGACGUAUAAAAUUGUUAAGUUCUUCAAAUAAUUUAAAAUAUGUAAUAAGAUUUAGUUGGUGAAUAUAGUGUUGGAAUUAAGUUAAAACUAAACUAAUUAGACUUAUAAAAAUGUUAAGUUCUUUCAAAUAAGUUAAAAUAUGUAAUAUGAUUUAGUUGGUUAAUAAAUUAUUGGAAUUAAGUUAAAACUAAACUAAUUAGACUUAGAAAGUUGUUAGGAUGUUAAAUAAGUUAAAUUGGUGAAUAUAGUGUUGGAAUUAACUUAAUACUAAACUAAUUAGACUUAGAAAGUUGUUAAGUUGUUUAAUAAUUUAAAUUGGUGAAUAUAUUAUUGGAAUUAAGCUAAAACUAAACUAAUUAGAAUUAGAAAGUUGUUAAGUUGUUUAAUAAGUUAAAUUGGUGAAUAUAGUCUUGGAAUUAAGUUAAAACUAAAAUAAUUAGACUUAGAAAGUUGUCAAGUUGGUUAAUAAGUUAAAUCGGUGAAUAUAUUAUUGGAAUUAAGUUAAAAACUAAACUAAUUAGACUUAGAAAGUUGUUAAGUUGUUUAAUAAGUUAAAUUGAUGAAUAAAGUGUAAGAACUAAGUUAAAACUAAACAAAUUAAUUAGAUUCAGAAAGUUGUUAAGUUCUUCAAAUAAGCUAAUGUGAUUUAGUUGGUUAAUAUAGUGUUGAAAUUAAGUUAAAACUAAACUAAUUAGACUUAGAAAGUUGUAAGUUCUUCAAAUAAGUUAAUAUCAUUUACUUGGUUAAUACAGUGUUGGAAUUAAGUUAAAACUAAACUUAAUAGACUUAGAAAAUUGUUAAGUUCUUCAAAAGUUAAUGUGAUUUAGUUUGUUAAUAUAGUGUUAGAAUUAAGUUAAAACUAAACUGAUUAGACUUAGAAAGUUGAUAAGUUCUUCAAAUAAGUUAAUGUGAUUUAGUUGGUUAAUAUACUGUUGGAAUUAAGUUAAAACUAAACUAAUUAGACUUAAAAAGUUGUUAAGUUCUUCAAAUAAGAAAUGUACUUAGUUGGUUAAUAUAGUGUUGGAAUUAAGUUAAAGAAAGCAGAGAAUAAGAGGUAUGUAGCGCUUCAAGCCCAACUAACUUUUCUUUUUGAAUCAGGAAAUAUUCUUCCUCCAUGUCCGGCAAGCAGUGGUGAUGGAGCUGAUGAUGAGAAUGAUAAGGGUGAUAAGGAGAGUGAGGAUGAUAAAGAGUAGUUGUAUUGGUUUGACAUUUUAGACUUCUAUAUUUUUAGAAUUGUUUGAUCGUAAUUUAGUUUAUUUUGAAGGUUUAUUUCAAAAUAGUUUUGUGUAUACGUUGAAAAUAUUGUGUUGUUUUGAUUGGAUGAAGUUUAUUUAAAAAAAGCUCAUUCGACAUUCUUUGGGUUGGAUGAAGAUUAUUUUGAAAUAGCUUAAAGCUUAUUUGGAACUCUUUGGGUUGUUUUGAUAUAAAUAAGCAGGUGGGAUACUAAAAUUGCAGCUCAAUGCUGCCAGUUUUGUAACAAAAAUACCAACCUCCGGAGGUCGGAAUCUCAAAAAUAAGAAAUAAAAAUGCCAACCUCCAGAGGUCGAAAUCUCAAAAUAAGAAAUAAAAAUACCGACCUCUAGAGGUGGGAAUCUAAAAGAUAAGAAAUAAAAAUACCGACCUUCGGAUGUCGGAAUCUCAACAAUAAAAAGAAAUAAAAAUACCAACCUCAGGAGGUCGGAAUCUAAAAAAUAAGAAAUAAAAAUAUCGACCUUCGGAGGUCAGAAUUUAAAAAGAAAUAAAUGAAAAUAUUGAGCUCCGGAGGUCGAAAUCUCAAAAAUAAUAAAUAAAAAUACCAACUUUCGGAUGUUGCAAUCUCAAAAAUAAGAAAUAAAAAUACCGACCUCCGGAGGUUGGUAUUCCAAAAUUUGAGAAUUACAUUUUCUGAUCUCCAGAAAAUGAAAAUAAAAAAAUAAAAUAAUUAAAAAAAUAUAUAAAAGUGACCUCCAAAAGUCGGAAAAUGAAAUAAUGAAUUUACCAAGUUAAAUUGAAAUUGAAA